AUCCAGCUGACGAGUCCUAAGUAGGACGAAAUGCGGGUCCUGGAU
Molecule: non-coding RNA, 45 nt
Organism: Schistosoma haematobium
Lineage: Eukaryota; Metazoa; Platyhelminthes; Trematoda; Strigeidida; Schistosomatidae
Source: Rfam